UCUUCCACGAGAGAACUAAGCACA
RNAcentral lists this non-coding RNA (24 nucleotides) under Arabidopsis thaliana (thale cress). Lineage: Eukaryota; Viridiplantae; Streptophyta; Magnoliopsida; Brassicales; Brassicaceae. The record is from RNAcentral.